CCCAGACUCCUACGGGAGGCAGCAGUGAGGAAUAUUGGUCAAUGGCCGGAAGGCUGAACCAGCCAAGUCGCGUGAGGGAAUAAGGCCCUAUGGGUCGUAAACCUCUUUUGUCAGGGAGCAAAGGCGUCCACGAGUGGACGAAAGGAGAGUACCUGAAGAAAAAGCAUCGGCUAACUCCGUGCCAGCAGCCGCGGUAAUACGGAGGAUGCGAGCGUUAUCCGGAUUUAUUGGGUUUAGAGGGUGCGUAGGCGGAGUGUCAAGUCAGCGGUAAAAUUUCGGGGCUCAACCCCGUCGUGCCGUUGAAACUGGCGGCCUCGAGUGGGCGAGAAGUAUGCGGAAUGCGUGGUGUAGCGGUGAAAUGCAUAGAUAUCACGCAGAACUCCGAUUGCGAAGGCAGCAUACCGGCGCGCAACUGACGCUCAUGCACGAAAGCGUGGGUAUCGAACAGGAUUAGAUACCCUAGUA
RNAcentral lists this ribosomal RNA (465 nucleotides) under uncultured bacterium. RNAcentral's name for it is "bacterial SSU rRNA". It matches the Rfam family "Bacterial small subunit ribosomal RNA", at positions 330 to 792 of the family's 1533-position model. The record is from RNAcentral.